GGGUCAGUAGGUUGGUCGUGCCACCGGUACGUACUGGUCUCACUGAUUCCUCCUUCCUGAAGAACCGUAAUGCCAUUAAUUUGGUGUUGCGGGGAAACAGGACUGCUACUUUGAAAAAAUUAGAGUGUUUAAAGCAAGCUAACGCUUGAAUACAUUAGCAUGGGAUAAUGAAAUAGGACGAUCGAUCCUAUUUUGCUGGUUUCUAGGAUCGACGUA
RNAcentral lists this ribosomal RNA (216 nucleotides) under Glomeromycotina sp. RNAcentral's name for it is "partial small subunit ribosomal RNA". The stretch from base 44 to 216 matches the Rfam family "Eukaryotic small subunit ribosomal RNA", at positions 690 to 864 of the family's 1831-position model. Lineage: Eukaryota; Fungi; Glomeromycota. The record is from RNAcentral.